GGGCCCGCACAAGCGGUGGAGCAUGUGGUUUAAUUCGAAGCAACGCGAAGAACCUUACCAGGUCUUGACAUCCCACUGACCGGCUUAGAGAUAGGCUUUUCCCUUCGGGGACAGUGGUGACAGGUGGUGCAUGGUUGUCGUCAGCUCGUGUCGUGAGAUGUUGGGUUAAGUCCCGCAACGAGCGCAACCCUUGAUCUUAGUUGCCAGCAUUCAGUUGGGCACUCUAAGGUGACUGCCGGUGACAAACCGGAGGAAGGUGGGGAUGACGUCAAAUCAUCAUGCCCCUUAUGACCUGGGCUACACACGUGCUACAAUGGACGAUACAAAGGGCUGCAAACCCGCGAGGGGGAGCCAAUCCCAUAAAAUCGUUCUCAGUUCGGAUUGUAGGCUGCAACUCGCCUACAUGAAGCCGGAAUCGCUAGUAAUCGUGGAUCAGCAUGCCACGGUGAAUACGUUCCCGGGCCUUGUACACACCGCCCGUCACACCACGAGAGUUUGUAACACCCGAAGUCGGUGAGGUAACCUUUACAGGAGCCAGCCGCCGAAGGUGGGACAGAUGAUUGGGGUG
This 568-nucleotide ribosomal RNA is filed under the name uncultured bacterium. RNAcentral's name for it is "bacterial SSU rRNA". It matches the Rfam family "Bacterial small subunit ribosomal RNA", at positions 917 to 1482 of the family's 1533-position model. The record is from RNAcentral.